This 1747-nucleotide unclassified non-coding RNA is filed under the name Hevea brasiliensis (rubber tree). The record is from RNAcentral. Lineage: Eukaryota; Viridiplantae; Streptophyta; Magnoliopsida; Malpighiales; Euphorbiaceae.
UGAUUCCAGAGAGAACUUCACCUGUUCAAAGAGGUGUCAAUUCAAACGUUCAGUUCUAGUAUGGUCCUACAAUAGAAGCUAAAAAUCUCAAACAUUCUUAUGAAAUAAGCUAUAAAGGACUGAACCGCUGGCAGCAUGAAAGGUCUUAAUUCAUAUAUAACCAAAAUGUCAAAAACUAGCAUACUGUGAUCCUUAGUCAUAACAAAAAUCUCACUCACAACAUUACACUCCCCUUUGAAACCAUUCUUGUUCUCGAGAGUGGAUAAAAGACAUAUCAUCCCAGCAACAUUUUGGAUGUGAAGGUCCAAUCUGCACUUUAAAAUGGCUGAAAUUGCACUUAACCAUUUUAUUCAACUGGUAAGGCAUUUUUUCAAACACCUACUGUGCAUCUUCCCUCUCCAAUGAUAGAAUCAUUUUCAUCCUCCUUCUCCACUUCUCAUACUCAUUUUCUUUCAAGGGCAUAAUGUCUAAGGAUAACAACUCAAAAUCAUAGCCCCUCAACUUAAACUCGAAACAAUAAGCAUAAUGCAUGCAUGUUCUUUUUCCACCAAAAUCUUUCUUUGUCCUUUCCAAAAUUUUUCCCAAAGAGAGCAAACCUAUCGAUUUGAUAUAGAAUUUCCAGAUUAUGAAUUAACUGGCUAAUCUUACCAUCUUGGACUGCUGCACUCAAAACUUGAUCUAUUUCCUCAAGUUUUAAAAUUGCAUUUACCUUGUUACUUAUUUUCUUAAUGAUACCCUUCUUCAAUGCAAGAAUUUAGAUUAUUGGCAAGGUCUUGAUCAUCAUUCCCAUAAUAAAAUUGGAAAUUUCAGAAAAGUUCAUGACCCUGCUCUUCUUCUCUCAAUUUGGAACAUUCCAAAGGCUUAAAGAUUGGUUGGCACUCUCGUAACUCGUAAGGGACAGUUUCUUGUAUCUGAUUAUCAAAUCUUUGUUGACAUUUUGCUUUUAUCCGUUGAUUAAACUCUUCCAUUCUCCAUAGAUUUUCUUCUCGAACUGCCACAAACAUCUUGCAAUUAUCUUGAAAAAUUUGUUGGAUCUCCAUCUUAAAGGAUUGAAACAAAUGUUGUAAUUGUUUGAGUUGAUUCUCAAGAAUCAUGCAUGUUAUUUUAUCGUCCUUGGUUGCUUGUUCCAGAUUAAAAAUAGAAUUUAGGAGAGGAAUGAAGAAGAGUAUAUAGAAGAGAAAGAAUGAGAAAAGAAGAGAAAGGGAGAGAAAAGAGAAGAAAUUUGGCGAGGAAACUAUUAGAAUGUUCUUUUAUACACUGAAAACUGCCCUUCCACCAGAUCUAACUGCUGGCUUCCCCCAUUUCUGCUCCUUUCUAACAGUUUUAACAAACUUUCAUCAGCUAACAUCUUUUCCUUCCAUUUCAUUUUCCUUCCAUUUCAAUUAGACUAGUAGCUAGGUCUUACCAAAAUCAAAUUGUGUGACAGUUUGAGUUUUUCCUCUCAGGACAUUGACUUUAGCAGAUUCCUCAACCUGAUCACUAAGAGCAAGAUUAUGUUAGCGAAAGCUUCCAAACAAGCAACUAAGGUCAAGGUCCUCAUUGUGCUGGAACCAAGUACUAAGUUUCUCCACAGUGGCUUGACUUCAAUGAUUCAAGAUCCCUGUAUUCAAGAGAUCAGAGGCAAAAGAAAAGGGGAAAGAAAGCCAACUCCCUGCAUGUCCAAUUCCAUCACCUUUGAUCCUUGACUCGAGGAGAGGAAAUGAAGACAAAUUAAAGAGAGGGAAACGAAGGGAGAAGGACAAAAGUA